This 1908-nucleotide ribosomal RNA is filed under the name Rhynchophorus palmarum. RNAcentral describes it as "SSU rRNA". It matches the Rfam family "Eukaryotic small subunit ribosomal RNA". Lineage: Eukaryota; Metazoa; Arthropoda; Insecta; Coleoptera; Curculionidae. The record is from RNAcentral.
UUGUCUCAAAGAUUAAGCCAUGCAUGUCUCAGUACAUACCGAAUUAAGGUGAAACCGCGAAAGGCUCAUUAAAUCAGUUAUGGUUCCUUAGAUCGUACCCACAAUUACUUGGAUAACUGUGGUAAUUCUAGAGCUAAUACAUGCAAACAGAGCUCCGACCAGAGAUGGAAGGAGUGCUUUUAUUAGAUCAAAACCAAUCGGUGGCGGGUUCGCGCUCGUCAUCGUACGACUUGGUGACUCUGAAUAACUUUAAGCUGAUCGCACGGUCUAGCACCGGCGACGCAUCUUUCAAAUGUCUGCCUUAUCAACUGUCGAUGGUAGGUUCUGCGCCUACCAUGGUCGUAACGGGUAACGGGGAAUCAGGGUUCGAUUCCGGAGAGGGAGCCUGAGAAACGGCUACCACAUCCAAGGAAGGCAGCAGGCGCGCAAAUUACCCACUCCCGGCACGGGGAGGUAGUGACGAAAAAUAACGAUACGGGACUCAUCCGAGGCCCCGUAAUCGGAAUGAGUACACUCUAAACCCUUUAACGAGGAUCAAUUGGAGGGCCAGUCUGGUGCCAGCAGCCGCGGUAAUUCCAGCUCCAAUAGCGUAUAUUAAAGUUGUUGCGGUUAAAAAGCUCGUAGUCGAAUUUGUGUCUCGCGCCGCCGGUUCAUCGUUCGCGGUGUUAACUGGCGUGCUUUCGCGAGACGUCCUGCCGGUGGGCUCUUAGCGUCGGUCGCGCGCUGCGCGUCGGCGUUCUUCUAGGACGUCGUGUGCGUAUCGCGCGUCGCGUUCGCGGCGGCCCAACUCAAUCCUGCCGCGGUGCUCUUUACUGAGUGUCGAGGUGGGCCGGCACGUUUACUUUGAACAAAUUAGAGUGCUCAAAGCAGGCUAAAAUUUCGCCUGAAUACUGUAUGCAUGGAAUAAUGGAAUAGGACCUCGGUUCUAUUUUGUUGGUUUUCGGAACCCCGAGGUAAUGAUUAAUAGGAACGGAUGGGGGCAUUCGUAUUGCGACGUUAGAGGUGAAAUUCUUGGAUCGUCGCAAGACGAACGGAAGCGAAAGCAUUUGCCAAAAACGCUUUCAUUGAUCAAGAACGAAAGUUAGAGGUUCGAAGGCGAUCAGAUACCGCCCUAGUUCUAACCUUAAACGAUGCCAGCUAGCGAUCCGUCGACGUUCCUUAAUAUGACUCGACGGGCAGCUUCCGGGAAACCAAAGCUUUUGGGUUCCGGGGGAAGUAUGGUUGCAAAGCUGAAACUUAAAGGAAUUGACGGAAGGGCACCACCAGGAGUGGAGCCUGCGGCUUAAUUUGACUCAACACGGGAAACCUCACCAGGCCCGGACACCGGAAGGAUUGACAGAUUGAGAGCUCUUUCUUGAUUCGGUGGGUGGUGGUGCAUGGCCGUUCUUAGUUGGUGGAGCGAUUUGUCUGGUUAAUUCCGAUAACGAACGAGACUCUAGCCUGCUAACUAGGCGUCUUUUGACAUCCUAAAGGCCCGCCGUCCGCGUCACUUUCGGGUUACGCGGUUCGCGCGCGGUUUUUACUGUCGGCGUACAAACUAUUCUUCUUAGAGGGACAGGCGGCUUCUAGCCGCACGAGAUUGAGCAAUAACAGGUCUGUGAUGCCCUUAGAUGUUCUGGGCCGCACGCGCGCUACACUGAAGGAAUCAGCGUGUCUUCCCUGGCCGAGCGGCCCGGGUAACCCGCUGAACCUCCUUCGUGCUAGGGAUUGGGGCUUGCAAUUGUUCCCCAUGAACGAGGAAUUCCCAGUAAGCGCGAGUCAUAAGCUCGCGUUGAUUACGUCCCUGCCCUUUGUACACACCGCCCGUCGCUACUACCGAUUGAAUGAUUUAGUGAGGUCUUCGGAUCGACACGCGAUGGCGUUUCGGCGUCGUCGAUGUGUAUGAAAGAUGACCAAACUUGAUCAUUU